UACGAACUGCGCGAACGUUAUUCGGAUUCACUGGGCUUAAAGGGUGCGUAGGCUGUCUUGCAAGUAAGGUGUGAAAUUUUUCGGCUCAACCGGAAAAGUGCAUCUUAGACUGCGAGGCUGGAGUGAGUCAGGGGUGUGUGGAACUGCCAGUGGAGCGGUGAAAUGUGUUGAUAUUGGCAGGAACGCCGGUGGCGAAAGCGACACACUGGGGCUUAACUGACGCUGAGGCACGAAAGCCAGGGGAGCAAACGGG
Molecule: ribosomal RNA, 253 nt
Filed under: uncultured bacterium
Lineage: Bacteria
Description: partial 16S ribosomal RNA
Rfam family: Bacterial small subunit ribosomal RNA
Source: RNAcentral